AUUGAACGCUGGCGGCAGGCCUAACACAUGCAAGUCGAGCGGAUGAAGGGAGCUUGCUCCUGGAUUCAGCGGCGGACGGGUGAGUAAUGCCUAGGAAUCUGCCUGGUAGUGGGGGAUAACGUCCGGAAACGGGCGCUAAUACCGCAUACGUCCUGAGGGAGAAAGUGGGGGAUCUUCGGACCUCACGCUAUCAGAUGAGCCUAGGUCGGAUUAGCUAGUUGGUGGGGUAAAGGCCUACCAAGGCGACGAUCCGUAACUGGUCUGAGAGGAUGAUCAGUCACCCUGGAACUGAGACACGGUCCAUACUCCUAAGGGAGGCAGCAGUGGGGAAUAUUGGACAAUGGGCGAAAACCUGAUCCAACCAUGCCGCGUGUGUGAAAAAAGUCCUCGGAUUGUAAAGCACUUUAAGUUGGGAGGAAGGGCAGUAAGUUAAUACCUUGCUGUUUUGACGUUACCAACAGAAUAAGCACCGGCUAACUUCGUG
RNAcentral lists this ribosomal RNA (484 nucleotides) under uncultured bacterium. RNAcentral's name for it is "partial 16S ribosomal RNA". It matches the Rfam family "Bacterial small subunit ribosomal RNA", at positions 30 to 507 of the family's 1533-position model. The record is from RNAcentral.